This 253-nucleotide ribosomal RNA is filed under the name Bacteroides uniformis. RNAcentral describes it as "partial 16S ribosomal RNA". It matches the Rfam family "Bacterial small subunit ribosomal RNA", at positions 524 to 776 of the family's 1533-position model. The record is from RNAcentral. Lineage: Bacteria; Pseudomonadati; Bacteroidota; Bacteroidia; Bacteroidales; Bacteroidaceae.
UACGUAGGGAGCAAGCGUUGUCCGGAUUUAUUGGGUUUAAAGGGAGCGUAGGCGGACGCUUAAGUCAGUUGUGAAAGUUUGCGGCUCAACCGUAAAAUUGCAGUUGAUACUGGGUGUCUUGAGUACAGUAGAGGCAGGCGGAAUUCCCCGUGUAGCGGUGAAAUGCGUAGAGAUGGGGAGGAACACCAGUGGCGAAGGCGGACUACUGGGCACCAACUGACGCUGAGGCUCGAAAGUGUGGGUAGCAAACAGG